UAGGGAAUCUUCCACAAUGGACGAAAGUCUGAUGGAGCAACGCCGCGUGAGUGAUGAAGGGUUUCGGCUCGUAAAACUCUGUUGUUGGAGAAGAACGGGUGUCAGAGUAACUGUUGACAUCGUGACGGUAUCCAACCAGAAAGCCACGGCUAACUACGUGCCAGCAGCCGCGGUAAUACGUAGGUGGCAAGCGUUGUCCGGAUUUAUUGGGCGUAAAGCGAGCGCAGGCGGUUUUUUAGGUCUGAUGUGAAAGCCUUCGGCUUAACCGGAGAAGUGCAUCGGAAACCGGGAGACUUGAGUGCAGAAGAGGACAGUGGAACUCCAUGUGUAGCGGUGAAAUGCGUAGAUAUAUGGAAGAACACCAGUGGCGAAGGCGGCUGUCUGGUCUGCAACUGACGCUGAGGCUCGAAAGCAUGGGUAGCGAACAGGAUUAGAUACCCUGGUAGUCCAUGCCGUAAACGAUGAGUGCUAAGUGUUGGAGGGUUUCCGCCCUUCAGUGCUGCAGCUAACGCAUUAAGCACUCCGCCUGGGGGAGUACGACCGC
This 544-nucleotide ribosomal RNA is filed under the name uncultured bacterium. RNAcentral describes it as "partial 16S ribosomal RNA". It matches the Rfam family "Bacterial small subunit ribosomal RNA", at positions 355 to 889 of the family's 1533-position model. The record is from RNAcentral.